This is a non-coding RNA of Triticum urartu, 125 nucleotides long. The record is from Rfam. Lineage: Eukaryota; Viridiplantae; Streptophyta; Magnoliopsida; Poales; Poaceae.
UAUGUACUCCCUCCGUCCGGAAAUACUUGUCUGAAGAAUGGAUGUAACUAGAUGUAUUUUAGUUCUAGAUACAUCCAUUUGUACUCAUUUCUACGACAAGUAUUUUCGGACGGAGGGAAUACUAG